Molecule: unclassified non-coding RNA, 166 nt
Filed under: soil metagenome
Description: partial contains 5.8S ribosomal RNA, internal transcribed spacer 2, and large subunit ribosomal RNA
Source: RNAcentral
AACCUUAUGGACCUGCGGGCGUAUACCUGCGGAAGGAUCAUUACUGUGACUUACUACUACACUGCGUGAGCGGAACGAAAACAACAACACCUAAAAUGUGGAAUAUAGCAUAUAGUCGACAAGAGAAAUCUACGAAAAAACAAACAAAACUUUCAACAACGGAUCU